Molecule: ribosomal RNA, 500 nt
Filed under: uncultured bacterium
Lineage: Bacteria
Description: partial 16S ribosomal RNA
Rfam family: Bacterial small subunit ribosomal RNA
Source: RNAcentral
AUUGAACGCUGGCGGAAUGCUUUACACAUGCAAGUCGAACGGCAGCACGGACUUCGGUCUGGUGGCGAGUGGCGAACGGGUGAGUAAUGUAUCGGAACGUGCCCAGUCGUGGGGGAUAACGUAGUGAAAAUUACGCUAAUACCGCAUACGAUCUAUGGAUGAAAGCGGGGGAUCGCAAGACCUCGCGCGAUUGGAGCGGCCGAUAUCAGAUUAGGUAGUUGGUGGGGUAAAGGCCCACCAAGCCAACGAUCUGUAGCUGGUCUGAGAGGACGACCAGCCACACUGGAACUGAGACACGGUCCAGACUCCUACGGGAGGCAGCAGUGGGGAAGUUUGGACAAUGGGCGAAAGCCUGAUCCAGCCAUUCCGCGUGCAGGAUGAGGGCCCUCGGGUUGUAAACUGCUUUUGUACAGAACGAAAAGGUUUCUACUAAUACUAGGAGCUCAUGACGGUACCGUAAGAACAAGCACCGGCUAACUACGUGCCAGCCGCCGCCGUAA